RNAcentral lists this ribosomal RNA (380 nucleotides) under uncultured eukaryote. RNAcentral's name for it is "partial 18S ribosomal RNA". It matches the Rfam family "Eukaryotic small subunit ribosomal RNA", at positions 592 to 976 of the family's 1831-position model. The record is from RNAcentral.
CAAUAGCGUAUAUUAAAGUUGUUGCAGUUAGAACGCUCGUAGUCGGAUUUCGGGGCGGGCCGACCGGUCUGCCGAUGGGUACGCACUGGUCGGCGCGUCCUUCCUUCCGGAGACCGUGCCUACUCUUAACUGAGCGGGGGCGGGAGACGGAAUUUUUACUUUGAAAAAAUCAGAGUGUUUCAAGCAGGCAGCUCGCUCUUGCAUGAAUUAGCAUGGGAUAAUGAAAUAGGACUUUGGUGCUAUUUUGUUGGUUUCGAACACCGAAGUAAUGAUGAGAAGGGACAGUCAGGGGCACUCGUAUUCCGCCGAGAGAGGUGAAAUUCUCAGACCAGCGGAAGACGAACCACUGCGAAAGCAUUUGCCAGGGAUGUUUUCACUGA